GUAUUGUAGAAAACUGUGGUUAUUAUAAGUACGGAACUGACUUACGGUAAAGUGAAGCCAUUAGUCCUGGGAAACUGUCGUCUGUUAGCGUCGCCUGGCGCGUGAAGUGUCCAAGGACCGAUCGACAGAAACAGGCCUGCCAGCUCCGAGUUCCCGCAGACGACAACAAAAGCACGCGCUUAAUGAACCUUUGGAAGAUGGCUCCGUUGGAGGAGUUGGACAUAGAAUGGACUGCUUCGUUUAGUCGCUGUUUCUGGAAACAAUAUUUGUAGAUCUGAUUGAAGUUACACGCUGUAUGUACAUCUGUGUUUGUUAGAAUUUCACACCAUGGAUAUCGCUAUAUUUGAAACAACUCUGACAAAACAUCUAAAUAAAUGUUGGAAAAUAAA
Long non-coding RNA from Ostrea edulis (European flat oyster), 389 nucleotides. RefSeq lists it as uncharacterized. The record is from RefSeq and is a predicted model, not a curated record. The transcript has 2 exons. NCBI's taxonomy places the organism in Eukaryota, Metazoa, Mollusca, Bivalvia, Ostreida, Ostreidae.